GAGAUAGCAAAGGCUAAAAACAGCAAGAUUUUGGUGUGGACGAUAAAAGUGACAAAUACAAACAAGCAAAAUCUCAUUGGUAUAAGCUAAAGCAACCACUACUUUCAGGCUUUACCUAAUUGGAAAUUGUGUUACCCUGAGCCAGAGCCUAAUGAAUGAGCUACCUAUAUCUUGCUUUUUUCUUUCGAUUUCCCCCUAAAUUUUUGGUUCCCUGAAAGUAGACCUGACCAGCCCGUAUACAGGGUCGGGCCGAGACAUAAAAUUAGCCCGUAUGCCGGAUCGGGGUCAUUGGUGAACCAUUUUAUGUUGUUGGGAACUCACUUGGAGGAUAUGUUGCAACCGGUUUUCAGCAUGUAAUUCUGAGUUGGUUAAGGGUGUUACCCUACUCAAUGCAACACCUUUUUGGGUUUUUCUUCCGAAUCCCACAAAAUCUCCUUUACUAUCUAGGAUGUUUCCUCCGGCUGGAACUUUUCCUCUACCUGCUAAUGUAACUAAGAUUAUGGACAUUGUUUGGGAGAAAAUGAGUGAUCCAGAAACCAUAGCGGAGUUGCUCAGGCAAGUUUACGCGGACCAUUCAACAGAUGUUGAUAAAGUCUUUUCUCAUAUAGUUGAGACAACAGAACAUCCUGCUGAGAAAAAAUGGUCAGGGUGCCAGUUAGUUGCUGCUUACUGCAGAACAGCAGGAGCUUUCAUACUUCAUUAAUUUGUAUCAUAUUUCAGGUUUUUUUUUUCCUGUGGUUGAAUUACACACUUGAUAACUCUUCUUAAGAUUGUUUAGGUUGUUUAUGGGAAUAACUAAAUUCUUCGUUUGGCUUGCAUUUUGAUUUUCCAUACCUUUUACUUUCAUGUGAUGAGGGUGAAGGCCGAAGGUGCACAAACAAUUGUGACAAGGAGAAACCAAGGAGUCCCAUGUACGGAGUGAAACGACACGAGGGUGAAUAUAUAAGUGUUGCAACUUUGUUAAUGUCUUGUGAGGAGAUCGUUGUUAUUUUUGGUUCGAUACUGAAUGAAUGUCAAUUGCUCACUAUCAAAAGGUACGGUGAAAGAUAGAAAAAUGAAUGGAUCUACCUCUAUAUGAAUUUCAAGAAUAGACAUUGGUUUGUGUUAAAAGGAUCUAUUUAUAGAGUAAUGUUGAUACAAUUUAUUUUAUAUAUUGAAGGUGUAACUCUCGAAUUUGUCUAUAUAUUCUUUUAAUUUGUAUAUAACCAAA
Spinacia oleracea (spinach) is the source of this 1210-nucleotide long non-coding RNA. RefSeq lists it as uncharacterized. Lineage: Eukaryota; Viridiplantae; Streptophyta; Magnoliopsida; Caryophyllales; Amaranthaceae. The record is from RefSeq and is a predicted model, not a curated record. The transcript is spliced from 3 exons.